CUGGGCUUCAACUCCACCACGCUGCCAGAUCGUAGACUCAGCUACACACAUUCUCCGACCCGACUCCUGCCUCUGACCCUCUCCUGCUCCGCCUGGAAACUGCUCUGGACCUGCAAAGCUCUCCCAGACUCUCUGGACUCCCUGUGCCUAGGUUCUCUGAUCUUGCCCUGUUCAACUGCCCUACUUCAAUCUCGAGCCUCGGACUCCAGCUGCCAGCCUCAACCUUCCCUUGGUUCCUCCUCACCAAGCCUCUGCUCCCCUCCAACCUCAAGGACUCUACUGCCCCAAACUCACGAACAACCUCAACCACUAUGCAGGGAAAAGAAAUUCAAAAAUAUUCAAUCUGGUCUGAUUUGUAUGUUCAGCAAACAUGUCUCAUACUCCAUCCGGGGGUUCUGCAUGCCCUGCUGUCUUAUCAGUUAACCAGGCUCUUGUUUACCUCUUCAUUUUUACAAAUUGGAGUAAUCUAGUGAUUAGUUGAGACACCAAACCAUCUGAGAAGUUAUGUGAGGAAAUAUUUUGUAUUUAACACCAAGUCAAGUCAACUGUCAGCUUGUCAUCACACUCAACACAAAUGACUGUCAACUCUAUAACAUA
Xiphias gladius (swordfish) is the source of this 597-nucleotide long non-coding RNA. RefSeq lists it as uncharacterized. NCBI's taxonomy places the organism in Eukaryota, Metazoa, Chordata, Actinopteri, Istiophoriformes, Xiphiidae. The transcript has 2 exons. The record is from RefSeq and is a predicted model, not a curated record.